RNAcentral lists this ribosomal RNA (298 nucleotides) under Clostridioides difficile. Its description in RNAcentral is "partial 16S ribosomal RNA". It matches the Rfam family "Bacterial small subunit ribosomal RNA", at positions 577 to 876 of the family's 1533-position model. Lineage: Bacteria; Bacillati; Bacillota; Clostridia; Peptostreptococcales; Peptostreptococcaceae. The record is from RNAcentral.
GGUCUUUCAAGUCAGGAGUGAAAGGCUACGGCUCAACCGUAGUAAGCUCUUGAAACUGGGAGACUUGAGGGCAGGAGAGGAGAGUGGAAUUCCUAGUGUAGCGGUGAAAUGCGUAGAUAUUAGGAGGAACACCAGUUGCGAAGGCGGCUCUCUGGACUGUAACUGACGCUGAGGCACGAAAGCGUGGGGAGCAAACAGGAUUAGAUACCCUGGUAGUCCACGCUGUAAACGAUGAGUACUAGGUGUCGGGGGUUACCCCCUUCGGUGCCGCAGCUAACGCAUUAAGUACUCCGCCUGG